CUGUUGACAGUGAGCGAUUGUAAACAUCCUCGACUGGAAGCUGUGAAGCAGCAGAUGGGGCUUUCAGUCGGAUGUUUGCAGCUGCCAACUGCCACAG
RNAcentral lists this microRNA precursor (97 nucleotides) under Python bivittatus (Burmese python). Its description in RNAcentral is "microRNA pbv-mir-30a precursor". Its record names the gene pbv-mir-30a. The stretch from base 11 to 88 matches the Rfam family "mir-30 microRNA precursor family". Rfam says of the family: This family consists of the mammalian microRNA (miRNA) precursor mir-30a. The record is from miRBase by way of RNAcentral. Lineage: Eukaryota; Metazoa; Chordata; Lepidosauria; Squamata; Pythonidae.